GGGGGUGUAAAGGUUUCGACGGGGAUUGUAAACCUUGGUAAGCGAGCGGCGGUGCGGAACCGCCUUAAAAUCCGCAACUUAAAAAUAACUGACAAAAAUACAGUUGAAUUAGCAGCUGCCUAAGGCACUGCUCGUCCUGUCUGAGAGCACCACGGCUUAGAUAAGGGCGUCGAUUAGUGGUAACUGUGAACAGAGGAGUGCCUCGACCUUUGUCACACAUCAGAGGCUGCCGAACUGCAAAGCCUGUCGGUGGGCGUUGCAGUAAGGGAGAUUAAAAACAUUGACUGCGCUCGGAGAAAACCUUGGCAAGCGAUUUUCGGACAGGGGUUCGACUCCCCUCACCUCCACCA
Molecule: transfer-messenger RNA, 350 nt
Filed under: uncultured Ruminococcus sp.
Lineage: Bacteria; Bacillati; Bacillota; Clostridia; Eubacteriales; Oscillospiraceae
Rfam family: transfer-messenger RNA
About the family: Bacterial tmRNA, also known as 10Sa RNA or SsrA, is named for its dual tRNA and mRNA-like properties. Its role is to liberate the mRNA from a stalled ribosome. To accomplish this part of the tmRNA is used as a reading frame that ends in a translation stop signal.
Source: RNAcentral